Molecule: ribosomal RNA, 801 nt
Filed under: uncultured Rubrobacter sp.
Lineage: Bacteria; Bacillati; Actinomycetota; Rubrobacteria; Rubrobacterales; Rubrobacteraceae
Description: bacterial SSU rRNA
Rfam family: Bacterial small subunit ribosomal RNA
Source: RNAcentral
AGAGUUUGAUCAUGGCUCAGGACGAACGCUGACGGUGUGCUUUAGGCAUGCAAGUCGAACGAGAAAGCCCUUCGGGGUGAGUAAAGUGGCGAACGGGUGAGUAACACGUGGGCAACCUGCCCCCCGCAGGGGGACAACCGGAGGAAACUCCGGCUAAUACCCCGUACGCUUGUUGGAUCGCAUGGUCCGGCAAGGAAAGGUAGCUUCGGCCAUCCGGCGAGGGAUGGGCCCGCGUUGCAUUAGCUAGUUGGUGGGGUAACGGCCUACCAAGGCGACGAUGCGUAGCUGGUCUGAGAGGAUGAUCAGCCACACUGGGACUGAGACACGGCCCAGACUCCUACGGGAGGCAGCAGCCAGGAAUCUUGGGCAAUGGGCGAAAGCCUGACCCAGCAACACCGUGUGGGCGAUGAAGGCCUUAGGGUCGUAAAGCCCUGUUGAUAGGGACGAAGGGCGAAGGGUUAAUAGCCCCUAGCUUGACGGUACCUUUCGAGGAAGCCCCGGCUAACUACGUGCCAGCAGCCGCGGUAAUACGUAGGGGGCGAGCGUUGUCCGGAAUUAUUGGGCGUAAAGAGCGUGUAGGCGGUUCGGUAAGUCUGCUGUGAAAUCCUGGGGCUCAACCCUGGGCGUGCAGCGGAUACUGCCGGGCUAGAGGGUGGUAGAGGCGAGUGGAAUUCCGAGUGUAGCGGUGAAAUGCGCAGAUAUUCGGAGGAACACCAGUAGCGAAGGCGGCUCGCUGGGCCACACCUGACGCUGAGACGCGAAAGCGUGGGGAGCGAACAGGAUUAGAUACCCCGGUAGUCC